CUUUCUGUCUUCUCCUCUUCCCUGCUCCCACUUCCUGGCUGGUCUCCCACUCUGGUGCCACUCCUUCCUCCCUGUCUCCAUAACUUUUCUCUUUUCUGUACCACCGCUUCCUUGACCCCGACCUCCUCUCUUUUCCUGACCUGUCUCGGUGCUCCUUUAUAUGGCUCCAUCUUUUCCUCCAUGUGUCCGCCCUACCUGUCACCCUUUUUCUCAAAUCUGCCCCUUUUCCCUUGCCUCUUUUCCUUGACCCCAUGCCGUGUGCUUGCAGCUGCUCCUGGAACACCUGGAGUGCCUGGUGUCCAGGCACGAGAGGUCACUGCGCAUGACCGUGGUGAAGCGCCAGGCCCAGUCCCCGGGUGGGGUCUCCUCGGAGGUAGAAGUGCUCAAAGCUCUAAAGUCUCUCUUCGAGCACCACAAGGCCCUGGAUGAGAAGGUCCGGGAGCGGCUGCGGAUGGCGCUGGAGCGCGUGGCAGUGCUCGAGGAGGAGCUGGAACUGAGCAAUCAGGAGACUCUGAACCUUCGAGAACAGCUGUCUAGGCGGCGGUCAGGGCUGGAAGAGCCGGGCAAGGAUGGGGAUGGGCAGACUCUUGCCAAUGGCCUGGGUCCUGGCGGGGAUUCCAACCGGCGCACAGCAGAGCUGGAGGAGGCCCUGGAGCGGCAGCGCGCCGAGGUGUGCCAGCUGCGGGAGCGCCUGGCGGUGCUGUGCCGUCAGAUGAGCCAGCUGGAGGAGGAGUUGGGCACCGCGCACCGUGAGCUGGGCAAGGCAGAGGAAGCCAACUCCAAGCUGCAGCGCGACCUCAAGGAG
RNAcentral lists this small RNA (805 nucleotides) under Pan troglodytes (chimpanzee). RNAcentral describes it as "retained intron". Lineage: Eukaryota; Metazoa; Chordata; Mammalia; Primates; Hominidae. The record is from RNAcentral.